Molecule: long non-coding RNA, 1101 nt
Organism: Drosophila sechellia
Lineage: Eukaryota; Metazoa; Arthropoda; Insecta; Diptera; Drosophilidae
Exons: 2
Source: RefSeq, a predicted model, not a curated record
UCAUAAAUCAGUCGAAAGAAAAAUAUGACGUGGUAGUAAUAGUAGUAGUAUGUGUGUCGGUGAGUGUCAAGGUAGUUCCAGAGGCCAUAUGGGCAUCCCCUCCUCGUUCCGGAUGCAGUGCAUCAUGGAUAUGACCAGAAUUUUGGAAUCGAAACUGGAUCUGGCUUCUCUGGGUGGUCAAAACCACCUGGUAACUGAUUUCUACUAGCUCGGAAGCCUUCUUUGCAUCAAUUGGAAGACGAUCUCGAGCACUGAGGAACUGUCUGCUUGAGUGCUUUUCCAUUGAAAUUCCGUUUUGAUUUUCACUUAAUUCCAUUUGCGAACUGGUUUGUGGCGCCCGAGCAGGUACAACAAUGGAUAUGACAACAAUUAGUUGAUGCCACAUGUCGCCUGGCUCUUUGUUCGCCGUCUUUUUGCAAAAUAGAUAUUGCAAAAUGCCCAAAAGCACUUGUUUUUGCUUUGUUUGGAUGUGUUCUCUACGACGGCUUUUGUUUGGAUUUUUAUGAUGUCUAAAACUGUCGGCGCGGGUAAUUUGAUUUAAAAUGUUUAUCUUGAUUAGGGCCUUUUGCUGCUAAUGUAAUCGAGGCACUAUAUAGCUACCACUACUUGAUAUAGCUACUGGAUCAACAACGCCGCUACACGAGCCAACCAAAGGGUCAUAAAGAGUUGAACAAACGGACGACGAGGCCCUCAACUCAACUGGGCGACUUUCGGCGCAAAACAUAUAGACUGGAAAUACACAUGCACAUAUAUUGCACAUGCACUUGCACAUCUAGAGUUAUUUGCAUGCUGGUGACCCCGAGCAGGCAAAAAAAUGUAUUUAUAAGGCUUCCCGCUUGCAUGUACUAUUUGUUUGCUAAAUACUGGCAAUAAGGUGGGCAAGAAAAAUUGCGUGGGGGAAAGGAGAGAUCGACGACGGUGCUAGAGAAAGUGUCAGAUUGGUGACCCCGAACUGCCUGAAAAUGCUUACGUGGCAGGUUUUUAUAAGAUUUCCCUGUCUCGUUAUUUGUUAUUUGUUUGCUAAGUGCACAGGAAGAAAAAACAUUAUUGACUACUCAAUUUUCGCAUGCUGUUCCAAAUAAAUUAUCACACUUGAAUCAA